This 253-nucleotide ribosomal RNA is filed under the name uncultured bacterium. RNAcentral's name for it is "partial 16S ribosomal RNA". It matches the Rfam family "Bacterial small subunit ribosomal RNA", at positions 524 to 776 of the family's 1533-position model. The record is from RNAcentral.
CACGUAGGCACCAAGCGUUGUCCGGAUUUAUUGGGCGUAAAGGGUGCGUAGGCGGCGCGGUAAGUCGGGUGUGAAAUCUCGGAGCUUAACUCCGAAACUGCAUUCGAUACUGCCGUGCUUGAGGACUGGAGAGGAGACUGGAAUUUACGGUGUAGCGGUGAAAUGCGUAGAUAUCGUAAGGAAGACCAGUGGCGAAGGCGGGUCUCUGGACAGUUCCUGACGCUGAGGCACGAAGGUCAGGGGAGCAAACGGG